This 269-nucleotide ribosomal RNA is filed under the name uncultured prokaryote. RNAcentral's name for it is "partial 16S ribosomal RNA". It matches the Rfam family "Bacterial small subunit ribosomal RNA", at positions 524 to 792 of the family's 1533-position model. The record is from RNAcentral.
UACGGAGGGGGCAAGCGUUGUUCGGAAUUACUGGGCGUAAAGCGCGCGUAGGCGGGUCUUUAAGUCAGAGGUGAAAUCCUGGAGCUCAACUCCAGAACUGCCUUUGAUACUGGAGAUCUUGAGUCCGGAAGAGGUUAGUGGAAUUCCCAGUGUAGAGGUGAAAUUCGUAGAUAUUGGGAAGAACACCAGUGGCGAAGGCGGCUAACUGGUCCGGUACUGACGCUGAGGUGCGAAAGCGUGGGGAGCAAACAGGAUUAGAUACCCGCGUA